UUUAUGGUAUGCAAAUUUAUUAACAAUAUAGUUCUAAGUACACUAUGAAAAUAUUAAUUAAAAUGUAAAUUUAUAUGAUAACUUAUUUAUACAUAUAUCUAUUUCAUUUGAAUAACAACAUGGAGUCUUUAUGGGUGAAAGUUUUAUGAUCAAAAUAUAAGGUAACUGAACGUUUACCAGAGAUUUUAUCUUCUACUACUUGCAGCUAUAUUUGGCGGUCUUUGAGGAGCGUUUGGAAGGACAUUCAGGGGAAUAUGGCUUGGAAGGUGGUAACUGGUCGAGAGGUGAAAUUUUGGACAGAUACCUGGUUUAGGGACUUGGAUCCAUUGACAGAUUAUUGCACUGUACUGCAACCAACAUUUCUGAAUGCUACGUGCAAUACCCGAUUUUGGCCCGGGUAAAAGGCCCAAAAUUACAAACAGGCCACAAGGCUCAAACUGAAAUAAGCAGAGGCCCAAAAUUAGAUCCAAGCCCAAAGCAAUUUCAGAAACCUUAGGGUUUCUGAGGGAGCCUCGCGCCGUAGCCACCAAGCAAUCAAGAGCCGAAUCUCCGUGCAAUCUUCACCUACACAACAAGGAAAGAAAUAAGCAGCAAAGAUAGAAAGAAAAUCAAAGAUUUGUAAUCAAAAUGGAUUUGUUUCUUGAUUUCUUUUUUGUUUUUUCAUUCGGCUAUAAAAUAACCAUUGUAACACUGUAAUAAGGGAUCGAUUCAGAAAUCAAUAAAAGACACAAAUAUUUUCACAAACAACCGGAUACAAAGAAUACAAACAGAGAUUCAAUCGGAAACGAAGGUUGAUAUAUUUUUCUUAGUUUCGAUUCAUGUUAUAUUUUCCAUUUUUUAUUUUUUUAUUAAACAAAAUAAAUAAAGGAUAAAAACACUUAUCUUCGCUCACUUCUGAAACGCCGUUUGGACGGCCGAGGCUCGUCUCCGAGGAUAGACGAAGGGGAAAUCGAGAGGUUCCAAAGGCUUUUGGGGUGUUUUUUUGUCGUUUUUGAAGGGGUUGAGCCCAGAUUUGGGCCUAGAAAGGUUGGAAGGGCCAAAAAAGGAAAUUUUUUCCCUUCUCCGGCCACCGCAGACAGCGGUGCCGGUGCCGGAGAUUGGCGACCGGCGCGGUGGCCGGCGAUUGGCCGGUGCCCUGACUUUGGCCGGACGAUGGGGAAGGGGGAGAGCUCUUCAAAGGUUUUUUGUGUUUUUUUAGAGAGGCUUAAAAUGAUUUUUUUUCAGAAGUUAGUCGCUUAAAUAGCCUUUCAAGACGGCAUCGUUUUGGGGCAUGGGUCGACCCGAUUCUGACCCGACCCGGCCUAGGAUCCGCGUGUUUUUAAGCGGAGGGGCAAAUUGCGCUUUUAGCCCCUCCGCCUUUUAAUAUCUUUUCAAUUAAGUUUAUUCUAUUUUUAAAAUUCGCACUUUAAUUUAUUUUCAAUUUCAAUUUGGUCCCUAUGGAACGCACCGUUUAGAAGAGAAGGGAAAAUUGUCCCCCCAGUCCCUCCGUGAUUAAGCGCGCGUUCAAUAUAGUCCUUUGGGCUUUAUUUAUUUGCAGAUUUGCCCCAGUUCUUUCAUUUUCAUUUCAAUUUAGUUUUUUUAUUUAUUUUUUUAAAAAAAUUAAUUAAUUAAUAAUGUAAUUAUUAUUUUUACUUUAAUAAUUUUUAUAUAUAAUUAUUUUUUUAAAUACAUGUAUAUUUAUUUUUAUGUGUAUAUUUGUUUUUAUAUAUAUACGCAUACCUAUUUUUUAAAUAUAAUGUAAUUAUUAUUUUUAUUUUAUAUUCGUAUAUAUGUACAUGUGAAUAUAUUUAUAUUUUUUUUGUAACGAAUGUUUUUUACAUUUAUAUGUAUGAAUGUGUAUAUUUAUUUUAUUUUUAAAAAAAUGCUCAAAUACAUUUUUUUAACACAUGUUUAUAUAUAUAUAUGUUUAUAUCUUUCUUUGCACCAUAUAUAUUGUUAUAUAAUUUUUAUAAUCCAAAGUUUUAUAUGUAAAUCAUAUGUAUAUCUUUAAUCUUCAUAAUUUCUAUGUAUAUACUAUAUACCUCCUUUUCUUUAUUUAUUUUGCUUGCUUUCUUCAUUCGUUAUUUAAUUGUGUUUACAUUUAUAUUUUUUAUUCAUUCGAUAUUUUGCAUGUCAGAGAUUAUUAUUAUUAUUUAGUUUAUUUAUUUUAUAUUAUUUAUAUGCCAUUGUUGUAUUUGUUAUUAUGACAUUCAUACAUACAAUAUAACGUUACAUCAUCUUUUACUCAAAUUUAGAAAUAGAAAAUUUUCAAAAUUGAGAUAAUGCUCGUAUUUAAGAUUUUCAAGGAAAUUGAGUCUUAACGUAUUGGGUUCCGAUUUUCUUCAUUAAAUCUAACAAUCGAGCAUUUCUCUUUAAUAAAAAAGAUAAGAACUCAUUAUUGGGAAUUCAACACGUUGUGUCCUAACGUAUUGGAUGUGAUGCAUUGAUUUCUCGAAAUGAAUAUUUUUUUUCUAAAAAAUAACAAAGGAAAUAUUCUGAGUUUGGGAUUUUAGAGGAAUUGUGCCCUAACGUAUUGGGCCGCGAUUUCUUAAAUCUUGAACAAAUGGAUAUUCUUUUAAAUUUUUAUUACAAGAGUAUUCUGGCCUAAUUCAUUUUUGAGGAAAUAAGAAUGUUGUGCCCUAACGCAUUGGGUGUGGCAUUUUCUUUCUCUGAAAUGAUAAGGGUCUUAAUACGUAAUGUUUUAAGUUUCUACUAAGGAUUAUAUUUUUCAAGUUUUCGACAUUAAGACAUUAAUUAUUUAACUAGGUACCGAUUUUUGGGCGUAAUGAGGGUGCUAACCCUUCCUCAUACGUAACCGACUCCCGAACCCGUUUUUCUAAAAUUCGUAGACCAAAGUCGUUUUUUAGGUGACCCAAUCACACCUUAAUAAAAGAUUGGUGGUGACUCCCAAUUUUCAUUUUUUAAAGUCGACAACCUAAAAUUUUUGUUUUUUUAAAAAAAAUAGUUUCAACAGCUUGGCGACUCCACUAGGGACUUUUUUUAAAAAAUAAGAGAGUCGAGCCACAAAGUUGAUUAAUUUUUGUCUUAUGGUCGAGAAAAUAUAUUUUUUUAAAAUCACGACAUCCUUUCGCAUUCAUUAUCUUAUUUCUUAAAUGUUGUUUGCAUUAUACAUUUCACGAGUUGAACAAUUUUACCCUUUUAAGUGGGAGUGAGGAGCUAUGCCUUCGUGAGGAGCUAUGCUUUCGUGAGGUUUUCACCUCCGUAUAGGAUAGUGGAUCGCUUUCGGGAUACAUCGGUACCUAGGCCUUCGUGAGAUUUUUAUCUCCGUAUAGUCAUAGGGAAAAUGUGUCCCCCUGAACCGAACUUGAUCUAUAUGAGCCUAUAAUGCGUGAGGAUCAAGGAAUCUGCUGGUUCGGGUACCUUUACUUUAGGGCCAAACCACAUAUAACGAGCCUUAGAAGCUUGCCUUAGGUAGAACUACACUAUACCCUAAUAGAUGUCCUAAUAGACGUUUUACUCUUCCUUGAUUAUAUGCUUGUAUUGGAUACUGACUCUUGUGCCUUAUUUUGUUUGCAUGACAUGACAUUUCAUUUUAUCAUAAAAGGCGUCAUUUCAGAUUCGAUUGCUAGAUAGAAAGCUUAACAUGGAAAAAGGGUUUCUUGAUAAAGUGGAGGACAAUGCGGCUGUCCGAACUUGGUCUGAAACAACGCAGCAAGAAAAGGAUGAUAGCCAGGCAGAUGGGUAUGUAUCAGAAUUAUGGGAUUUUACUCACAUCAGCGUGGCUCAAAACAAUUUGCAGGAGUUGAAAGAAAUUUAGGAUCAGUGGAAUAAUGAGGAUGGGCAGUUAUUUUACGACAAUUAUGGGGACUUGCCUUAUUUGCUUGAUGUGAAGGUAGACAAACAUUUGUUUCGAGCCCUCGCCCAGUUUUGGAAUCAUGUUUACAGUUGCUUCACGUUUGGGAAUGUCGAUUUGGUACCUACGAUAGAGGAGUAUGUGGCUUUACUCCGAUGUUCAAAGUUUCAAGUGGAUAGGGUCUACUUGAGAGCGGUGAAUGUGUCAACCUUUUCAAAGAAGCUGAUAGGAAUAACAGGGAUGAGUGAGCAAUGGGUCGCUGCACAAGUUAAGCAAAAGGGGGACAGCAAGUGCAUUCCUUGGAGGAGCUUGAAGGAUGCAAUUCUCACCUACCCAGACGUAAGAAAGAGGUUAGAUAUCUUCUCUUUAAGUAUAUACGGCUUGGUUAUCUUCCCUAAAGCCUUGGGGCAUGUGGACGAAGCAGUCACUGAUUUAUUUGAUCGGCUUGAGAAGAAGGUUACACCGAUUCCGGUAAUUUUAGCAGAAACCUUCAGGUCAUUGAGUGUAUGCCGAAAGACGAGUGAGGGUAUAUUUAUCGGAUGUGCGCAACUUCUACUCGUAUGGUUUCACAGUCACUUUUGGAAGGUGGAUAAAGUUUCGUAUCGGGUCUUUUUUGAAAAUUAUUCACCACUAAAAGAGAUAGCUGCUAUGCCGAGGAGGGAUGACAUUUCGGAGGAAAAAUGGAUGGCAAUUCUUCAAAAUCUUCAGGAGGAAGAUGCUGAGUGGAGAGCUCCUUGGUUGCUUCCAGAUGAGAUCCUAUAUAGGUGUGGUAAUUUCGAUUGGGUACCUUUAUUGGGUAUUUGGGGAGCUGUCGGAUAUGCCCAAUUAUUGGUGUUAAGGCAAUAUAGGUCAAGGCAGUUUAUACCUGCGACCCAAGGGAUAGCUGAUUCUGAAUUUUCAUACAAAAAUGAUGGUUAUAGAAAGAAGAUUCAAGAAAUGUCCAAUGCGUGGAAACAGACUCGCCGAAUGAAGAGGUUAGCUGUGGGGCCGAUGACAACUCCUGAGUAUUAUGGAUGGUGGGCUAGGAGGAUUAAUGAUAACACACCUAAGUUAAAUCAUGAGGACGGCCAAUCAAUAGAAGAGCAUUUGCGAGUCAUCCCUUCGGAAUUGGAAAUUGUAAGACAAGAUUUUGAGAGGAAGAACGCGGAUUUGGAGAAAAGGAUAGAGUAAAUGGAGGCGGAAAAGACAAACUUGAGAUUGGACAUAGACGUUUAGAAGCUUGAGAAUGAGAGGUUAAGUGAAAAGAAAAACAAGGCUGAUGAGGAACUGGGCAGUCUAAAGACGGAUUAUAAAAAGUUGUGUUUGUCAAUACGAACUGCUGGGCUGGGAAAGACGUCAGAACAGUGGCGAGCAGAAAUCCAAGAAGAAAAGGACAAGGCCGAUAGAUGGGAACAGAAAUUUCAAGAGAUGCAAAGGUGAAACGAGGCUUUAGAAAAGAGUUUGUCAGAAAGCCAAAAGGAAAAGGGCGAGUUAAAGGAUAGGGUGAUCGUAUUGGAAAGAUCUCUUCGUUAGUAUCGAAGUCGAAACUCUACGAUAGAGUUGAAAGCAAGCUUGAGCAAGAUUGACGAAAUGAAGAAAAGAAUCGAAGAGCUAGAAACGGUGCUGUAAAAUUGUGAGAUUCAGAUCAAGCACUUGAAAGUAAACGAAAGUCGUAAUAAUGGACAGCUACACCACUUUUAGAGUCAAGUUAGGAGUAGAGAUCAUCUUAUGGAGGAAGCUGUGGUUCAGAUUCGAGAAGUAGCUGAUUACGUACAGUCUUUAGCAGUACAAGCUGACAUGCUGAGUAUGAAGUAUGAAUUAGAAUCGGAUCGGGGGCAAGAAUUAGCUUUGUUACUUAGGAAGAUUAGAGUUCUGGGUAAUAGGGCAAAGUCUUAUUUGUAAUUCGCUUUAUGUAAAGAAAUUUGCUUUCUAGUAAGGUUUUCUUAUAUGGAAUUGAAUCAAGAUUGACGUCUUUUUGCAUUCAUGCAUUGCAUUACUUCAUAUGCAGUUAAAAACACUAAAAGAUUCUAAUUAAUUUAAGUCACUCCUCAGUUAAUCUGGAAACCAACCAAUCAACCGAACACCGUUAUAGUACCCGAGCAAAGUCAGGAGGCAUGGACCAAAGAUUGGAGAGAAUAGAGCAAAUGCAAAUACAGAUGCAAGAGCAAUUGACUGAAUUUCAACAAGAAAUGAGGAAUCAGAUGCUAGAAUUCCAAAUAAAUAUGAGCCAGCUAACCCAGUUAUUGGGUAAAGGGAAAAUCCCAGCGGCUCACCUUGGGGAUGAUAAUAAGGACCCUAUAUAUUCCCUAGAUUUUACCUUGAUAAGUGUCAAGGCCCAACCAGACGCAUGUCCACAAGAGGCACUCUUUACUAUCAGAUCCCGGCAAUAUCUGACUGGUACAUUGACACCAGUAUAUGGCCUGACAGACUCAAAAUCCAAUCCUGUUGCUCUAGACAAUUCAUCAGAAAUAAAACAGGUGAAGGUAGAGCACCCAGAUACUAUAAAAGCUUCAAGGAAGAAAGGGAAUAAGGGGAAAAAUGAAGGCAGAUAUAAUAAGAGCCACUCAAGACCAAUCACUGUGGGCCGGCUAAAGACAGAAACCACCAACCAUCAAGGUCCUUUAAAGCAAGAAUCAUAUGAGAAGCCAGGUACUGAAAACCUCCAGUUCACGCCAAUUCCAAUGUCGUACAAUGAGCUGUAUCAAAGCUUAUUCAAUGCGCAUGUUGUUGCUCCUUUACAUGUGAAACCUCCACAGCCCUCGUAUCCCAAAUGGUACGACACAGGUGCACAAUGCGAUUAUCAUGCGGGAAUUACGGCGCACUCAAUAGAGAAUUGCAUUGCCUUCAAAAGGCUAGUUGAAAAAUUCAUCAACAUGGGUAUCGUCAAGUUAGAUGACUCAUCUAAUACAGGAAAUUCGCUACCCAAUCAUGAUUGAUAAUGGUAUGAAUUCAAUAUAUGAAGAGGUUUUGAGAAGUAUUCACAUACGGAGACACAAUUAGGGACCUUGUUAGAUGUCUGUCCUUAUAAAAUUUGGGAGUGUUCUAAGUAAUUGGAUUGCGGAAGAAAUCUCUGUAGUCUUUAGAACUUGUUUAGAGCAAUGUUCAGAUCAUUCUUGUUGCUUUUAGCCUAAAAUCGAUAGGAAUUCCUUUGUGAAAUAGGCUCAUGUCUGAACAUCAUUAUUCUAAUAAAAUACAUCUUUGUAUUUGAGCCAAUAUUUUUUCAUUCUUUGCGAGUAAUUAUUCUUUCAUUCUUUUAGAUUUUCUUCCACAUCAUUCUUUUGUUCAUAAUUAUAUUGUAUAAAUAAUCAUUCGUAAAUUCACACAUUCUUUUGUAUAUUCUUUUGCAAUUACUAUGGGUCCUCAGAUAUCAAUGACAUGAGUGACGCUGCUACUGACUCAGAAUCUCCUUCUAAGUGAGACAUGUGUUUAGAAGGAUCUCAUAACUUAGAAGAUGUCAUAGAUCGUAGCCUAUUUUUGGACCUGUUAAGGAUGGUAGAACAAGUCGGAAAAUGGAUCUCACCCUACAAAGAAUUAUCAGGAUACAUGACUUCUCCUUAUGUGGGACAUGGAGGUCAGUUGGUCGAUCUCGCCAAAAGAGUCUGACGGUCAUCAAUUCAUCUUUGUGAUCGUCAAUUACUUUACUAAAUGUGUGGAAGCUGCUUCGUAUGUCAAUUCUUGAAGAAUCAUAUGGAACGCCAAAAGGAUCAUAUCUGACAAUGUACUAAUUUUGAACAACAGCACAAUAUCAAAAGUUUACAGUCUGUUCACGAUUAAUGUCAUAUUGCCCAAAGAAAAGAUGGCAAAAAAAAACUACUCUGCUGGGGCAAUGACUUUCUCUUGGGCCUAUCGUGGUUUUGCCUAUUGAAGACAAGAUUCUUUCACUCUGAGUUUUUAGAUCUAAUUGAAGAGGAAUGUUCAAAGUUAUCCAUCAUGGUCAAAUGCACCAAAAGAAAAUAAUGCGAGCUCACAAAAAAAAGGUCCACCCUAGAGAACUCCUUGAGAGGGACCUGGUAUUGAAGGGGAUCUUUCCCAUACAAAAAGAAUUUUAUCCAAGAUAGGAAGGGCCUUAUGUUGAAGGCCUUAUUUGGAAAAGUGUCGAUUUUGAUCAGAAGGGAUAACAAGGACAUGUCUAAUCCUAUGAGUUCAGAUUCAAUCAAAAUUAUUUCAAAAAAAAAAGAGAAGAGAAAAAGAAAAUAAGAAAGAAAAUGGAAAGGCCAAGGUGAAAACCCGCAAAGGGCGCCUUGAGACCAAAGGGGAUUUGAGUUGAAAACCUGAAAAGGGCGGCUCAAAUAUUGAUUAGAAUGGGGCAAGAGGUGAUCAGAGCAGUUCAAAUUUUGACCAGAUGGGGGCAUGUGGUGAUCUAGUUAUACUCGAACCAACAUAAAAGAGUAGGCAACAUCUUGAGGCAUCGACAGAGUACUGUAGAUCUCUUAAACACAUGUCAAACUCAAAAGGGUCUUCAGAAAGUUUGUACAGAGAAAUUCAAGCUGCGAUAUCUGGGGCACCCAAUUUUCAUGCUAUUUAUAUUGAAUACUUCAUUCAUUUUUAAGAUACAUAUUCCCAAGUGAUUUCUUUGUUAUCCUUCUUAAUUAUUUUUGAUAAUUUAUUCCUUUCGAACUAUGCUCAGAACCAACUUUAUUCUUAUUCAUUGUUAUGACCUUUUUGCAAGCAUGUUGCGUUGGAAUAAUGAUUAUUGGACUAAUAAAACUUUCACAAUGGAAGUUUUGCAUAUUACUCUGGAAGUUUCUAGAUAAUAUAGGAAUCUGAAACAGGACUAUUAUUUAGAACACACCAUGUUUAAGGGUUGAAAAUCUGAAAAAGUCUAAAUUAGGACUUUCUCUUUUGAUUUUGUUGUCAAAAACAUUGAACAAAAUGACAGGAUGUUGUGUGGAUAACUAAGCAAAUAAUGAUCACCAGACAAUAGGAAAAGGUUUUCUCGAGGAAGAAAGCCUUCAUUUGUGCAUGAGCCUUUGGUAUGAUACCCUGGGAAUGGCGUAAGAGACCAGAGAGAUUUAGAUCUUAUAUCAUUGAACUGUGAUAGGAGAGAAUUGAGGAAAAGCCAUAUAUUUCUACCCUUGGGUUACAGUGAAAGAAAAUGUUACGAAUUUUGGCGUCCCAGUGGUUUGAACUUUAAAGUUCACAGUGGGGGCAGCCUGGCUAAAUGUUUCUUCAGAAAAGCCAGUCAAGCAAGAAGGCGUUGUAGCACGUCAGUCACAAAGCCUUAAUAAACUUCGAGUAAUGACAACCUAAGCGGGAUCAUUCUCGGAAAAAAAAUUUUGCAUUCAUGCAAACACCAUUCACACAUGUCUAGUUAGGAGCAUUUGAUGCAUUUUGAUCAUGCCAUCCUAAUCAUUAGGCAUAAUUAGGUUCAUUAUACAGGUCAUGUUCCCCAGAGAACAGAUCAGUGAAAAUAGCAGAUCUUGUCUUCCUGCAUCGAUAGCGAAGCAGAUCGAAGAUGGCAAAUCUUAUCUCUCUGAAGUCGCAGUAGAGCAGAUUAAAAGCCGAUAAUCCUAUCUCCCUGAAGUUGCAGUGGAGCGGAUCACAACCUUGGAUCUUAUCUCUCUGAAGUUGCAGAGAGCAGAUCCCAUUUAGUUUUAUCCUCCUGAAGUUGCAGUGGGGCAAAUUGAAGAUGACAAAUCUUAUCUCCUUGAAGUCCCAGUGGAGCAGAUUAAAGCCGAUAAUCCUAUCUCCCUGAAGUUGCAGUGGAGCGGAUCACAACCUUGGAUCUUAUCUCUCUGAAGUUGCAGAGAGCAGAUCCCAUUUAAUCUUAUCCUCCUGAAGUUGCAGUGGGGCAGAUUGAAGAUGGCAAGUCUUAUCUUCCUGAAGUUGCAGUGGAGCAGAUUAAAGCCGACAAUCCUAUCUCCCUGAAGUUGCAGUGGAGCGGAUUAAAAUCUCAGAUCUUAUCUUUUUGAAGUUGUAGAAAGUAGAUCGCAUCUAGUCUUAUCUCCCUGAGGUUGCAGUGGAGCAGACUAAGUAAGCAAGUCUUAUCCUUUUGAAGUUGCAGUGGGGCAGAUUGAAGAUGGCAAGUCUUAUCUCCCUGAAGUUGCAGUGGAGCAGAUUAAAGCCAAUAAUCCUAUCUCCCUAAAGUUACAGUGGAACGGAUUAAAACCUUAGAUCUUAUCUCUCUGAAGUUGCAGAGAGUAGAUCCCAUCUAGUUUUAUCUCCCAGAAGUUGCAGUGGAGUAGACUAAAUAAGCAAGUCUUAUCCUCUUGAAGUUGCAGUGAGGCAGAUUGAAGAUAGCGAAUCUUAUCUCCCUGAAGUUGUAGUAGAGCAGGAUAACAGAUCAAGCUGAAGCCAGAAGUCUUAUCUCUCUGAAGUUGCAGUGAAGUAGAUUGAAGCACUAGUUCCUGUACCUCUAAAGAUGCAGUAGGAAGGAAUACCAAGAUCCAGCACGACCGGACAAAAUCGGGCAUUUUUAAAAGUCUUUGCUCUGUUCCUGUUACACGACAACGAGCAAAGAGGGGCAGCUGUAAUACCCGAUUUUGGCCCGGAUAAAAGGCCCAAAAUUACAAACGAGCCACAAGGGCCAAACUGAAAUAAGCAGAGGCCCAAAAUUGGACCCAGGCCCAAAGCAAUUUCAGAAACCCUAGGGUUUCUGAGGGAGCCUCGCGCCGCAGCCACCAAGCAGUCAAGAGCCGAAUCUCCGUGCAAUCUUCACCUGCACAACAAGGAAAGAAAUAAACAGCAAAGAUAGAAAGAAAAUCAAAGAUUUGUAAUCAAAAUGGAUUUGUUUCUUGAUUUCUUUUUUGUUUUUUCAUUCGGCUAUAAAAUAACCAUUGUAACACUGUAAUAAGGGAUCGAUUCAGAAAUCAAUAAAAGACACAAAUAUUUUCACAAACAACCGGAUACAAAG
RNAcentral lists this long non-coding RNA (10625 nucleotides) under Gossypium barbadense (sea-island cotton). RNAcentral's name for it is "long non-coding RNA (GBAR_LNC017448)". The record is from RNAcentral. Lineage: Eukaryota; Viridiplantae; Streptophyta; Magnoliopsida; Malvales; Malvaceae.